GCCUUCUAUAGCUUAGUUCGUAGAGCACCCGCUUAGUAGGCGGGAGGUCGUCGGUUCGACUGCGGCAGAAGGCU
This 74-nucleotide transfer RNA is filed under the name Perkinsus olseni. Its description in RNAcentral is "tRNA-Thr". It matches the Rfam family "tRNA". From Rfam's summary of the family: Transfer RNA (tRNA) molecules are approximately 80 nucleotides in length. The record is from RNAcentral. Lineage: Eukaryota; Perkinsozoa; Perkinsida; Perkinsidae.